RNAcentral lists this long non-coding RNA (1468 nucleotides) under Homo sapiens (human). RNAcentral's name for it is "HSALNT0074019". Lineage: Eukaryota; Metazoa; Chordata; Mammalia; Primates; Hominidae. The record is from RNAcentral.
AAUCAUAGCUAUGUAGACAUAACAUAAAGCAGCUCAUCACCUGGCUCUCAGCCACUAUUGUUUGUGAGGUGUAUAAAUAUAACACUGAUACUGUGAAAGAGCUGCUGAAUAAAGCCGUGUCUCAUCUACCUGCUGUCUCCCAAGUGUUCUUCCAGCUCCCUGCCCCUCAUCAACCCACUCUCCUCAGACCUCAGCUGGGGCUUGAACCUGAUAAUUGGUGUAGUCAUCAGGAUGAGGUUCUGAUUCCGAUUCUCCAAUGUUGCUGGUUGGGAGGCCGUACUUUAAGAGUGAAGACCGUGGAGUCCCGAGUCUGGGCACCGAUAGAAAAGAAUCACCUGAUUUCCUUGUCCGCAAUCCCUGGGAGACACUCUUCAGGGUCUGACUGAAUGGAAAAGGAAGCAGGGAAUCCGGUCCAACGUUAAUGUCACCGCCCUCACUGCCCUCUUCAAUUUGAACAUGGUAUUUCUGGCAGUAGCCACCAGAGGGUGCUAAAGAACCUCCUUGAAACGGCUGCAGAGCCCUGUGAGGUUACCAGACUGUUUCCACAAGACCUGUCCUGGGCUGGUCUUGGGGUUUGUGGGGAGGACAGUUUGUUCAGGAGUGGAUGAGGAACAGAAGGGCCCCGAGACCACAGGUUGUGUCAGAGACAGAGCUGAGGCCCUCGCUGGGACUACCACUCAGAGAUAAGCACAAGAAUCAGGCCAAGGAGGCAUCAUUUGGGAUCCUCAUUCCUCUUGCCCCCCUUUGAGGGCAAAGGGUGUUAGUAUACUUAAGGAUGUUGUCCACUUAAUAGAGAGAAAGGGCUAGAUCAGGGAUUUUCCCCUGGGGCUUCCAGCCCCACUCAAGUUAAGGGAUAUAUUGAGAUAUUUAUUUGAUCUUUAGAUUUCAAAGGGAGAGGCUGUUAUCCAGAUUUAAAAAAAAAAUGCUUGAAAAUAAAAUUGAUUGCCUGCCAUAAGAUAAGCAAUUUUUUCAAUAGUAGAAUAUGUGAUAAAAAUACACAUCUUUAGCCUUCAUUAACUUUUAUUAAAAAUUAUAACAAUUCAUAUUUGGCAUAGCCAUCAGUUGUACAUGUAAAGUAAUAAAUGAGAUCAUGGUAUUUGGAGUCGGUCUGUGGGAUUCAAAUAUCAGAACUGACAUUCAUUAGCUGGGUGAUACUGGGCAAAUUCAUUUACCUCUCUGAACCUUAGUUUCCUCAUCUAACCUCUUCUGAAUGGAUUUGGCCAAUGAUGGGAGUCAGGGGGAUGGAAAGCAUGAAUAGGAAAUUGUAAGGUGGGAGGAUGUAGAGGUAGAGACACUUAUUUCCUCCAAGCCCUGUUCACACUCAGUUCUGUUCAUGGCUGAUGACUUGCUCGAUUUGAUAAUGAAUUUAAUAAUGUCAGCACUCUCGGAUGCACAAUAGUAGUUAUAAAAAUGUGGUUAGGUCCUACUCUCUCCUAGAUAAUAUGGUAAAAAAAUUAUUUCCGGCCGG